This 264-nucleotide unclassified non-coding RNA is filed under the name uncultured Gaeumannomyces. RNAcentral describes it as "sequence contains ITS2". The stretch from base 1 to 52 matches the Rfam family "5.8S ribosomal RNA", at positions 103 to 154 of the family's 154-position model. Lineage: Eukaryota; Fungi; Ascomycota; Sordariomycetes; Magnaporthales; Magnaporthaceae. The record is from RNAcentral.
AACGCACAUUGCGCCCGCCGGUAUUCCGGCGGGCAUGCCUGUCCGAGCGUCAUUUCACCACUCAAGCCCAGCUUGGUGUUGGGGCACCCGGCCGCCCGGCGGUCGGGGCCCCCAAGAACAUCGGCGGUCUCGCCAGGACCCUGAACGCAGUAACUCGCGGUAAAACGCGCUUCGUUCGGAGGCUUCCCGGCGGGCUCCAGCCGCUAAACCCCCUAAACUUCUUAGGUUGACCUCGGAUCAGGUAGGAAUACCCGCUGAACUUAA